GUAGGUGGCAAGCGUUGUCCGGAAUUAUUGGGCGUAAAGCGCGCGCAGGGCGGUCCUUUAAGUCUGGGUGUGAAAGCCCACGGGCUCAACCGUGGAGGGUCAUUGGAAACUGGGGGACUUGAGUACAGAAGAGGAAGGCGGAAUUCCAAGUGUAGCGGUGAAAUGCGUAGAGAUUUGGAGGAACACCAGUGGCGAAGGCGGCUUUCUGGUCUGUAACUGACGCUGAGGCGCGAAAGCGUGGGGAGCAAACAGGAUUAGAUACCCUGGUAGUCCACGCCGUAAACGAUGAGUGCUAAGUGUUAGGGGGUUUCCGCCCCUUAGUGCUGCAGCUAACGCAUUAAGCACUCCGCCUGGGGAGUACGGCCGCAAAGGCUG
RNAcentral lists this ribosomal RNA (375 nucleotides) under uncultured organism. RNAcentral describes it as "partial 16S ribosomal RNA". It matches the Rfam family "Bacterial small subunit ribosomal RNA", at positions 527 to 896 of the family's 1533-position model. The record is from RNAcentral.